This 98-nucleotide transfer RNA is filed under the name Kwoniella mangroviensis CBS 8507. Its description in RNAcentral is "tRNA-Tyr". It matches the Rfam family "tRNA". From Rfam's summary of the family: Transfer RNA (tRNA) molecules are approximately 80 nucleotides in length. Their secondary structure includes four short double-helical elements and three loops (D, anti-codon, and T loops). The record is from RNAcentral. Lineage: Eukaryota; Fungi; Basidiomycota; Tremellomycetes; Tremellales; Cryptococcaceae. RNAcentral also lists the same sequence under 2 other names.
CUCUCCGUAGUUUAGCGUGGUUUAGAGCGUCAGACUGUAAUUAACUUUAAGAUAAGUUGCAAAUCUGAAAGUCGGGCGUUCGACUCGCCCCGGGGAGA